UACGAAGGGGGCUAGCGUUGCUCGGAAUCACUGGGCGUAAAGGGUGCGUAGGCGGGUCUUUAAGUCAGGGGUGAAAUCCUGGAGCUCAACUCCAGAACUGCCUUUGAUACUGAAGAUCUUGAGUUCGGGAGAGGUGAGUGGAACUGCGAGUGUAGAGGUGAAAUUCGUAGAUAUUCGCAAGAACACCAGUGGCGAAGGCGGCUCACUGGCCCGAUACUGACGCUGAGGCGAGAAAGCGUGGGGAGCAAACAGG
This 253-nucleotide ribosomal RNA is filed under the name uncultured bacterium. Its description in RNAcentral is "partial 16S ribosomal RNA". It matches the Rfam family "Bacterial small subunit ribosomal RNA", at positions 524 to 776 of the family's 1533-position model. The record is from RNAcentral.